GGGCCUGUGGCCGAGUCUGGAUACGGCGGCAGCCUCCUAAGCUGUAAAUCGCGGGUUCGAAUCCCGCCAGGUCCG
RNAcentral lists this transfer RNA (75 nucleotides) under Thermoplasmatota archaeon. Its description in RNAcentral is "Candidatus Thermoplasmatota archaeon tRNA-Arg". It matches the Rfam family "tRNA". Rfam says of the family: Transfer RNA (tRNA) molecules are approximately 80 nucleotides in length. Their secondary structure includes four short double-helical elements and three loops (D, anti-codon, and T loops). Further hydrogen bonds mediate the characteristic L-shaped molecular structure. tRNAs have two regions of fundamental functional importance: the anti-codon, which is responsible for specific mRNA codon recognition, and the 3' end, to which the tRNAs corresponding amino acid is attached (by aminoacyl-tRNA synthetases). tRNAs cope with the degeneracy of the genetic code in two manners: having more than one tRNA (with a specific anti-codon) for a particular amino acid; and 'wobble' base-pairing, i.e. permitting non-standard base-pairing at the 3rd anti-codon position. Lineage: Archaea; Methanobacteriati; Thermoplasmatota. The record is from RNAcentral.